UACGUAGGGGGCUAGCGUUGUCCGGAAUCAUUGGGCGUAAAGCGCGUGUAGGCGGUCCGGUAAGUCCGCUGUGAAAGUCGGGGGCUCAACCCUCGAAUGCCGGUGGAUACUGUCGGGCUAGAGUGCGGAAGAGGCGAGUGGAAUUCCUGGUGUAGCGGUGAAAUGCGCAGAUAUCAGGAAGAACACCUAUGGCGAAGGCAGCUCUCUGGGACGGUACUGACGCUGAGACGCGAAAGCGUGGGGAGCGAACAGG
Molecule: ribosomal RNA, 253 nt
Filed under: uncultured bacterium
Lineage: Bacteria
Description: partial 16S ribosomal RNA
Rfam family: Bacterial small subunit ribosomal RNA
Source: RNAcentral